This 450-nucleotide ribosomal RNA is filed under the name uncultured Glomeromycotina. RNAcentral describes it as "SSU rRNA". It matches the Rfam family "Eukaryotic small subunit ribosomal RNA", at positions 569 to 1025 of the family's 1831-position model. Lineage: Eukaryota; Fungi; Glomeromycota. The record is from RNAcentral.
AGCAGCCGCGGUAAUUCCAGCUCCAAUAGCGUAUAUUAAAGUUGUUGCAGUUAAAAAGCUCGUAGUUGAAUUUCGGGAUCAGCUGAUCGGUCGUGCCUCGGUACGUACUGGUCAAAUUGAUUCCUACCUUCUGACGAACCACGAUGCCAUUAAUUUGAUGUCGCGGGAAAUCAGGACUGUUACUUUGAAAAAUUAGAGUGUUUAAAGCAGGCUCGCGCUUGAAUACAUUAGCAUGGAAUAAUGAAAUAGGACGUUUGAUUCUAUUUUGUUGGUUUCUAGGAUCGACGUAAUGAUUAAUAGGGAUAGUUGGGGGCAUUAGUAUUCAAUUGUCAGAGGUGAAAUUCUUGGAUUUAUUGAAGACUAACUACUGCGAAAGCAUUUGCCAAGGAUGUUUUCAUUAAUCAAGAACGAAAGUUAGGGGAUCGAAGACGAUCAGAUACCGUCGUAGUC